This 472-nucleotide ribosomal RNA is filed under the name uncultured bacterium. RNAcentral's name for it is "bacterial SSU rRNA". It matches the Rfam family "Bacterial small subunit ribosomal RNA", at positions 29 to 507 of the family's 1533-position model. The record is from RNAcentral.
AACGAACGCUGGCGGCGCGCCUAACACAUGCAAGUCGAACGAGAAUCCGGGGCAACCCGGUAGUAAAGUGGCAAACGGGUGAGGAAUACAUGGGUAACCUACCCUUGAGAAGGGAAUAACCCGCCGAAAGGUGAGCUAAUACCCUAUACGCUAUCUUUUUUUCGAAAAGGAUAGGAAAGCCGGGUCGAGGACCUGGUACUCAAGGAGGGGCUCAUGUCCUAUCAGCUUGUUGGUGGGGUAACGGCCUACCAAGGCUACGACGGGUAGCUGGUCUGAGAGGAUGAUCAGCCACACUGGCACUGAGAUACGGGCCAGACUCCUACGGGAGGCAGCAGUGAGGAAUAUUGCGCAAUGGGCGAAAGCCUGACGCAGCCACGCCGCGUGAGUGAUGAAGGCCCGAGGGUCGUAAAGCUCUGUCGGGAGGGAAGAACAAAUGACGGUACCUCCCAAGAAAGCACCGGCUAACUCCGUG